This 301-nucleotide ribosomal RNA is filed under the name uncultured bacterium. RNAcentral describes it as "partial 16S ribosomal RNA". It matches the Rfam family "Bacterial small subunit ribosomal RNA", at positions 509 to 809 of the family's 1533-position model. The record is from RNAcentral.
CAGCAGCCACGGUAAUACGAAGGGUGCAAGCGUUAAUCGGAAUUACUGGGCGUAAAGCGUGCGUAGGCGGUGAGUUAAGUCUGCUGUGAAAUCCCCGGGCUCAACCUGGGAAUGGCAGUGGAUACUGGCUCGCUAGAGUGUGUCAGAGGAUGGUGGAAUUCCCGGUGUAGCGGUGAAAUGCGUAGAGAUCGGGAGGAACAUCAGUGGCGAAGGCGGCCAUCUGGGACAACACUGACGCUGAGGCACGAAAGCGUGGGGAGCAAACAGGAUUAGAUACCCCGGUAGUCCCUGUCUCUUAUAA